AGUGAACGCUGGCGGCAGGCCUAACACAUGCAAGUCGAACGGUAACAGGAAACAGCUUGCUGUUUCGCUGACGAGUGGCGGACGGGUGAGUAAUGUCUGGGAAACUGCCUGAUGUAGGGGGAUAACUACUGGAAACGGUAGCUAAUACCGCAUAACGUCGCAAGACGAAAGAGGGGGACCUUCUGGCCUCUUGCCAUCAUAUGUGCCCAGAUGGGAUUAGCUAGUAGGUGGGGUAACGGCUCACCUAGGCGACGAUCCCUAGCUGGUCUGAGAGGAUGACCAGCCACACUGGAACUGAGACACGGUCCAGACUCCUACGGGAGGCAGCAGUGGGGAAUAUUGCACAAUGGGCGCAAGCCUGAUGCAGCCAUGCCGCGUGUAUGAAGAAGGCCUUCGGGUUGUAAAGUACUUUCAGUGGGGAGGAAGGGAGUAAAGUUAAUACCUUUGCUCAUUGACGUUACCCGAAGAAGAAGCACCGGCUAACUCCGUG
Molecule: ribosomal RNA, 490 nt
Filed under: uncultured bacterium
Lineage: Bacteria
Description: partial 16S ribosomal RNA
Rfam family: Bacterial small subunit ribosomal RNA
Source: RNAcentral